GAUGAACGCUGGCGGAGUGCCUAACACAUGCAAGUCGAGCGGCAGCGCGAGUAGUUUACUACUUGGCGGCGAGCGGCGGACGGCUGAGUAACGCGUGGGAACAUGCCCCAAAGUGAGGAAUAACUGCCCGAAAGGGUAGCUAAUGCCGCAUACGAUCUUCGGAUUAAAGGAUUUAUCCGCUUUGGGAGUGGCCUGCGUACGAUUAGAUAGUUGGUGAGGUAAUGGCUCACCAAGUCUACGAUCGUUAACUGGUUUGAGAGGAUGAUCAGUCAGACUGGAACUGAGACACGGUCCAGACUCCUACGGGAGGCAGCAGUGAGGAAUCUUCCACAAUGGACGAAAGUCUGAUGGAGCAACUCCGCGUGCAGGAUGAAGGCCUUCGGGUCGUAAACUGCUUUAUGAGUGAAGAAUAUGACGGUAACUCAUGAAUAAGGGUCGGCGUAACUACGUGCCAGCAGCCGCGGU
RNAcentral lists this ribosomal RNA (465 nucleotides) under uncultured bacterium. RNAcentral's name for it is "bacterial SSU rRNA". It matches the Rfam family "Bacterial small subunit ribosomal RNA", at positions 28 to 521 of the family's 1533-position model. The record is from RNAcentral.